ACAUUGUGUUUAAUCGGUUAUUAAGCAUCGAGUGUUAAAUAUGCUAGUCCUUUCAUGAUUAUGUGAUAGGUGGUGCAUGGCCGUUCUUAGUUCGUGGAGUGAUCUGUCUGCUUAAUUGCGUUUCACUAAGGGCCCAUAAAUUCAAGGUAUGUUAGCUAUCGUCGCUCUAUGGACCCCUUAUACUCGAUUUCGCUUUAAUUAGCGUUAUUUGUUUAAUAAGCGCGCGUCUUUAUUUAAUGARUUUAAGACACUGCGCAUG
RNAcentral lists this ribosomal RNA (259 nucleotides) under Neogloboquadrina pachyderma. RNAcentral's name for it is "partial small subunit ribosomal RNA". Lineage: Eukaryota; Foraminifera; Rotaliida; Globorotaliidae. The record is from RNAcentral.